UGCUAGUCGAGCGCCUUCUAGCCAAAAGGAGGCGCGGCGCACAGCUCAGUAGCACGUGGCUAACCUGCCCUUGGGAUAGGAACAACCCCGGGAAACUGGGGCUAAUUCCCAAUAGGUGAAGAACUCUGGAAUGAGUCUUCGCCAGAAAGGACUCCUACACUAUGCUUGUAGGUUUCGCCCAAGGAUGGGGCCGCGACCGAUCAGGUUGUUGGUGAGGUAAUGGCUCACCAAGCCUUUUACCGGUGCGGGCCGUGGGAGCGGAAGCCCGGAGAUGGGCACUGAGACAAGGGCCCAGGCCCUACGGGGCGCAGCAGUCGCGAAAACUUUGCAAUAAGCGCAAGCUUGACAGAGCUAUCCCGAGUGCCAUCCGCUGAGGAAGGCUUUUACCCAGUCUAGAACGCUGGGGGAAUAAGGAGAGGGCAAGUCUGGUGUCAGCCGCCGCGGUAAUACCAGCUCUCCGAGUGGUGUGGAUGUUUAUUGGGCCUAAAGCAUCCGUAGCUGGCUAGGUUAGUCCCCUGUUAAAUCCACCGAUUUAAUCGUUGGUGUGCGGGGGAUACUGCUCGGCUAGGGGACGGGAGAGGCAGACGGUAUUCCCGGGGUAGGGGUGAAAUCCUAUAAUCCCGGGAAGACCACCAGUGGCGAAGGCUGUCUGCUAGAACGCGCCCGACGGUGAGGGAUGAAAGCUGGGGGAGCGAACCGGAUUAGAUACCCGGGUAGUCCCAGCUGUAAACGAUGCAGGCUAGGUGUUUGGACGGCCACGUGCCGUUCUAGUGCCGCAGGCAAGCCGUUAAGCCUGCCGCCUGGUGAGUACGGCCGCAAGGCUGAAACUUAA
RNAcentral lists this ribosomal RNA (832 nucleotides) under uncultured crenarchaeote. Its description in RNAcentral is "bacterial SSU rRNA". It matches the Rfam family "Archaeal small subunit ribosomal RNA", at positions 52 to 859 of the family's 1478-position model. The record is from RNAcentral. Lineage: Archaea; Thermoproteati; Thermoproteota.